UGUGCAUGCAUCCAGAGGUUACCACGCGAGACUGAGUAAAUACAGGUGGAUAUUAAUCAGUUCGAUGACUCAAAUACUUCUUGCCAUCAACGGACAACUCGAAACGAAACGAAACAUACUACAGUACGUGAUCUGGAGCUUGACUUCACCUGUUUUGUGGUGAUUAACAAAUUGUGCGGUGCCCAAAGAUAGGAAUACCAGUAAAUUUUGACCUCGUGGGGACAUUUGUGAGGUCCCCAUGAGGAACCAAGCUUAUAAAUCAAACGGAAUGAUGUUUCUUGAAAAUCUAAGGUCGCAGAAAGUUUUCUGUGAUGGUUGGGAUUAGGGUUUGGGGAAGGGAAUAGAAUAUACAGUUUGUACAGUAUAAAAUGCAUUACGUCUAUGGAAUGUCCCCACAAAAGAUGGAAACCAGAAUGUGUGUGCGUGCCAUGGAACAAAUAUUUAUUUUUAUAGCUUUUUGUGUGUUCUGUUUUUGACUUUCCCCCUGAUAUCAAGACACCAAAAUAAUCUUUUAAUACGCAUUUUCAUGUGUUUGUAAAGAAAAUAAAGUGUACUUCACUGUU
Paramisgurnus dabryanus is the source of this 563-nucleotide long non-coding RNA. RefSeq lists it as uncharacterized. Lineage: Eukaryota; Metazoa; Chordata; Actinopteri; Cypriniformes; Cobitidae. The record is from RefSeq and is a predicted model, not a curated record.